Gallus gallus (chicken) is the source of this 1797-nucleotide long non-coding RNA. The record is from Ensembl. NCBI's taxonomy places the organism in Eukaryota, Metazoa, Chordata, Aves, Galliformes, Phasianidae.
CGAUCAUAGAACAGAAAAGUAGGACAACAUGUGACAGGACAACAUUCUACCUACAUGUGAAAAGUUGGUCCCCUUGCUGCUUGUGAACUCCUUUCAAGUACUGGAAGAUCACAAUGAGGUCUCCCUGGAGCCUUUUCUUCACCUGCUGGAGGUGACUUCUGAGUGAGCACGUUAACUGUUGGUCAAGAACCUUUCCAAAAUUGUAGUUGAGCUUCCUUUACAGAGAAAAACUAAGGAUGUUUAAAUUGGUGCAGAAGAGGCCCAUGUCACAGAGGUGGCAAACACAUGGUGCUGAAGGUGCAGCUGAGGAGUUUGAGCUGGGCAGCUGCAGCAUGGAGGAAGUGCUGCUUUCUGAGUUGCACAGCUAACACUUGGAUGACUUUGGGUUCUUCUAAGUCCUCCCAUGAGUGACUGUUUUCUGCGACUCAGCUCCCAUAUCUGCUAGGAGAACAGCAGUGUGUUUGUCAACCCACAGGAGUGAAAGAGUCAGCUCUGCUAAAUGCUGCAACCUCUUUGGCUGGACAGUGUUGUGGACAGUGUCUCUUCAGUUGAGGUAUUGUAAAAACCUUAAGCUUGGUGUCUUACCACUUAUGUUUAUAUAACUGGGUGUUCUUAAUAAUGUGUCCUCUGGACUGAGCUAGUGUUACUGUUAAUUUAAAAGUGACUUGCAGUAUCUUUGCUGUCUUUGUGAUUUUUGAAAAUGCCUGCAUUCUUUUGCUGUCUGGCUCCUUUAUAAAAAAAGAAAUAAGGGAGGAGUUUGUCCUUUUUGUUUUGAUUUCAUCCUUGGGAGAGAGAAGAUUAGAGCUAUGAAAAUUCUUUUAAAUAUAGGACUCAGAAUUCAGUCACCAGAUAUGAUUAAAAAAUUGGAUUUCUAGCUCUACCUACCUAUUGUUGCUGAAAAAAAGCAGAGGAAAAAGGUAGUAUGACACAUAGAGUACACCUAUAAUGAUUUCAUUCACUGCAGAGCCAUCCAUCAACAAAACGAUAACUAACCAACCCUUUUGUCAACAAAGCACUAUUCAAUUUAUCAUUUAAGUUGGUAGGUAAACAAGAGAGUUAAUGAACCAGGGACAAGUUGGUCAUGAUGGACAAGAAAUAUAGGGAUUCUGCAUUGCUUUUUCCCUUGUUCAUCCUUUCAUACCUUUGCUAUUUUGAUUUGGCACCAAUUUCACUCCCAUUUUACACUUGCCUUGCACCGCAGUAAAUAAUUACUCAAAGAUGAAGACAAUUGCAAAUCAGGCUUGACAUAUUUCAGAGAGCAAAUUGCAGGAAGUGCAGUUAGGACUCCUUAGGUGCUUGCCCUGGUUCUGCAAACCACUUGCUAAGUGACCCUGGACAAUUAACCUCUCUGUGUUUCUGUUUAUCUAACUGUACUACCUCCCAGGGGUAUUAUUAGGCUUAAUUUAUCAAUCGUUCAAUACACUCAUGUUGAGUAUUUUGAAAUGCCUGCUGAAAGAGACCAUCUAAGUGCAGAACAGUAUUUAGAAGGUUAAUUUACCUGUUAAAAUCGGUUUGUAGCUGGUUCAAUUUACUUGGUUUUAUGGACAAAAAAUGAUCCAAAAUAUUUAGCAAGUAGAAACUGAGGAAAACCAGGAGAGGGUUAUCAAAAUCAUGGCUAUUUAAAAAGAUGUGCAAUUUCAAGGAGUGGCUCAUGGGUCUCUUAGGUAUAUUAUAUAUAUGAUACUGAGUCUUUCAAAGUUAAAUAAAUUAAUUGAGAGAAAAAAAAAAAAAACCUGUAAAUAAGGCUACUCAGAAAAGACAAUUUCCAAAUUUUCUUCUCUUUUAAAUGAAAGUUUC